This 253-nucleotide ribosomal RNA is filed under the name uncultured bacterium. RNAcentral describes it as "partial 16S ribosomal RNA". It matches the Rfam family "Bacterial small subunit ribosomal RNA", at positions 524 to 776 of the family's 1533-position model. The record is from RNAcentral.
UACAGAGGUCCCAAGCGUUGUUCGGAUUCACUGGGCGUAAAGGGUGCGUAGGUGGUGAGGUAAGUCGGAUGUGAAAUCUCCGAGCUCAACUCGGAAAUGGCAUUGGAAACUACCUUGCUCGAGGGUUGGAGGGGGGACUGGAAUGCUUGGUGUAGCAGUGAAAUGCGUAGAUAUCGAGCGGAACACCAGUGGCGAAGGCGAGUCCCUGGACAACUCCUGACACUGAGGCACGAAAGCUAGGGGAGCAAACAGG